UUGCAGGAGCCUCCCGAGCUAAUCUGAAUACAAAAACUUGAGGAAAUAAGCCCCAAAGCUCCUGCUAGAUUGUGUGCUGCCGUUUGUGUUGCACGUUUGCCUUGAUUCUCUAGUCUUUCCUGUGUCAAAAACAUGGUUGAAUUU
This 144-nucleotide small nucleolar RNA is filed under the name Brassica carinata (Ethiopian mustard). Its description in RNAcentral is "small nucleolar RNA snoR134". It matches the Rfam family "small nucleolar RNA snoR134". Lineage: Eukaryota; Viridiplantae; Streptophyta; Magnoliopsida; Brassicales; Brassicaceae. RNAcentral also lists the same sequence under 1 other name. The record is from Rfam by way of RNAcentral.